GGGCCCGCACAAGCGGUGGAGCAUGUGGUUUAAUUCGAUGCAACGCGAAGAACCUUACCUACUCUUGACAUCCAGAGAAUUAGCUAGAGAUAGCUAAGUGCCUUAGGGAACUCUGAGACAGGUGCUGCAUGGCUGUCGUCAGCUCGUGUUGUGAAAUGUUGGGUUAAGUCCCGCAACGAGCGCAACCCUUAUCCUUUGUUGCCAGCACGUAAUGGUGGGAACUCAAAGGAGACUGCCGGUGAUAAACCGGAGGAAGGUGGGGAUGACGUCAAGUCAUCAUGGCCCUUACGAGUAGGGCUACACACGUGCUACAAUGGCGUAUACAAAGAGAAGCGAGCUCGCGAGGGUAAGCGGGACCUCAUAAAGUACGUCGUAGUCCCGGAUUGGAGUCUGCAACUCGACUCCAUGAAGUCGGAAUCGCUAGUAAUCGUGGAUCAGAAUGCCA
This 445-nucleotide ribosomal RNA is filed under the name uncultured Pseudomonadota bacterium. RNAcentral describes it as "bacterial SSU rRNA". It matches the Rfam family "Bacterial small subunit ribosomal RNA", at positions 917 to 1359 of the family's 1533-position model. Lineage: Bacteria; Pseudomonadati; Pseudomonadota. The record is from RNAcentral.